CACGUAGGGCGCGAGCGUUGUCCGGAAUUAUUGGGCGUAAAGAGCUCGUAGGCGGCCUGUUGCGUCCGCUGUGAAAGCCCGGGGCUUAACCCCGGGUCGGCAGUGGAUACGGGCAGGCUAGAGGUAGGUAGGGGAGAAUGGAAUUCCCGGUGUAGCGGUGAAAUGCGCAGAUAUCGGGAGGAACACCGGUGGCGAAGGCGGUUCUCUGGGCCUUACCUGACGCUGAGGAGCGAAAGCAUGGGGAGCGAACAGG
This 253-nucleotide ribosomal RNA is filed under the name uncultured bacterium. RNAcentral's name for it is "partial 16S ribosomal RNA". It matches the Rfam family "Bacterial small subunit ribosomal RNA", at positions 524 to 776 of the family's 1533-position model. The record is from RNAcentral.